UGAUGAUAGUUCCCUUUAAAUCACAGUUUCCAUCCAAAUAAAGGGAAUUUAAGUGCUUAAGGAAAUGCCAUCAAAUGCAUGUUGUCGUGUUUAAUUUUCCAGUGCAUUAUGUGAGCACUCCUGAUGACCUCAGACCAUCUCAGUGACCAGCACUGCUGACUUUAAGUAAGCUUAUCUUUUUGCAGCAAAAACUGAAGAAUGAAGAACUCGCUCGUCUUGUGGAGGAGAGACGGAGGGAUGCAGAAAAAAAGAAGGAAGAAGAAGAGAAAGAGAGAGCAGCUGUAAGAGAACAGGAAGAGCAAGAAAGACAAAUACGACUGCAACAGGUUCAACGUGCACCAUCCCCUCCUAUCCCUACCCUACAGAAGAAACACCGCAACCCUUCAAAUGCUACAGUAACAAAAACGGAUUUCUCUGUGUUUCGGGCUCUUCCAUCUCCAGAAAACAGAAACAACCAGAGAACAGAGAAGUACAGAAGUGAGGUUGUAAAUGAGCUGUGUGUGUUAAGAAGAUGUCUGCGCAUUGAACAGCGGCAUCUGGAGGAGCAGCUCUUGCAGACGGAGUGGGAUCAUCUCCCCUCCCCCCUCACUGACAGGCACAGGACGGAUGUGUUUGACAUGGCUCGUUUGCGAAUGCCUGUGCAAGGCCCCUCCGCCCGUGGCACUGAGCCAAUCAGCUCAAAGGGAGCUGAUGACAUCAUGUACAGGGAUGCCUUUAUGCCUAGAACACGGCAGUCUAGGAACAGAGAUGUUGAGGGUGGACGAGGAUCUGUGCUUCUGUCAGAAAAUCAGAAUGGACUUGCUUUCCCAGUUCCUCCAGACAGUGAGAGGAAAUCUGCUAAGCUGUCUGCACGAGAGCGACGCAGACUGGCAAACCUUCGGUCUGCAGAGGGGAAGCCAGUGCAGCUGCAGUCCUUCAAUAUGAGGAAGCUCAGAGACACAAACACUCCCAGGAUGAAGAGACUACAAGCCUUCGGCCAUCACAACACCAUAGCAGGUGUGUGUGUUUGUCUUUGUCUCUGUGUAUGUUUUAUGAUUCUGAAGAUGCACAACUUAUUUCAAUUAUGUGUUUAGGAGUCUGCUCUGAUGGCGAUGAUGAAGCAAGUCAUGGUGAUGAGCAUUUUACCCUGCAGUCACCUGGCAGGCCCAGCUCCAUUGAUACUGCCACUACCGAGCCCUGGAUUCGAGCAGAGACAUCAGACACGCUCAGAAGGCUGAUGUCUGGCUCUGAACUUUAAGACGGGCCAUAAUAUACAUGACCGCACAUGCUCAGAGUGUGUGAGCACUUUAUUGCAAUGCAGUAUAUAUAUGAUAUUUUAUGUAGUCUUCAGAUCUCUUAAAUAAAAGACUGAUCAGUGGAAUCUCUACAAGAUCAACUGCUUUAACUGCAUCACAAAAUCUCUUCUGUGAACGGAUUUGUGGAUCCAUGAUAUCAAGUAGUUACUUUUAACAAAAUACAGAGGGAAUGAUACAUUUCUAAUCUUUCUGGGCUUUUUUCGUGGUAUUUUUUUCCAAGACAUAAAUACUUUUUAGCAUUUUGACAGCAUUUUAAAGUGUUUUUACACCAGGAUUCACCAGAGUAAAUAAUAUAUUGAAAGCAACAUAAUCCUGAUUGCUUGGAGGCUUACGGCCUGUUCAAACCAAGGAUGAUAACUAUAAUGAUAAUGUUCUCAAAAUCAUUCAGAAUUUUAAAAUAUUAAAUGGCGAAGUCUACACAUCUACUGUAUGAAAGGGGCACUUUCAGAAUUAUUUUUUUUCCAGUUGAUGAAUGAUAAAAAAUAUUGACAGCCAGUCAGAAUCCAUAUGAUAUUAAAGAGUGGCAUAUGACAUCAGCGCAUGCUUAUAAUUAAGGAGAAACUUAUUGUCCCUUGGUGUGAACACUAAUAUAGUUAUCCUUGGUGUGAACGGCCCUUUAGAGUGAAUGACAUGCGUGAGAGAAGCAUAUUCAUUCUGCACUUAUUUAAACCAUUUCGAGACUGCAGACAAACCACGGCUAACAAAGCCCGGCAAGAUAAAUUCUGCUGCGGCACCGAUACCAUCCAUAAUCCGGCUGACUGCAGAUGGUUUUGACUCCUCUUCUUUAUGCAUUUCUGAUUUUAAGCGGUCAAUCUGCCUCUGCAUCUGGGAGGCUUGCUCCUGUAAGCCCUUCUGUAGAAGAGCGUCCUUCUCCUGCAAUACAACACAAACAGCCACAAGUGAAAGAAUUGCUAAGUGACUUUGACCUUUGAAGGUGACUUCUCUGGAACAAAGUAAAAGUUUUGAAAGAAAGUAUCCUGUUCUUACUCUUAGUUUGGCUUCCAGGACUCGUUGAUUGUCUCUUCUCAUUCUCUCCUGCUCUCUUUCCAUCUGACUAAUGAUCUGAUUCACAUGUUCCUUAUGGGUCUCUGCAUGUCUUUAAACGCCUGCUCCUGUAAGCAGUUCUGUUCCUCUAGACCUCUUUGCCGCUGCUCCAGAAUCUCAUUCUUCAACCUCUGCACUGUAUAAUGAAAGAGAGACAGUAUAAUGAACUAAUUCUGAUGUAGACUUAAGACAAGUGGAAAAUCAAUUGCUGAGUUUGUCUAUCACAGUUCUUUGUUGUCAUUGUACUGUCUUGUGUAUCAUUGAGAGCCUUGACUGAUCGUGGACAGACAGAGAAGUGUGCAGCUGAUUUGAAUUGUACCCUCUUUUUCCUGUUCUGCUGCACUCAGAGAUUGGUCAGCUCCUAGAAUCAUAUUCCCAAUAUCUUCCUUUGCUUUCAAAAACUUGCUCAACACUUCUUCACUCUAUGAAAAAAA
Long non-coding RNA from Sinocyclocheilus anshuiensis, 2773 nucleotides. Lineage: Eukaryota; Metazoa; Chordata; Actinopteri; Cypriniformes; Cyprinidae. The record is from Ensembl.